This is a small nucleolar RNA of Vitis vinifera (wine grape), 164 nucleotides long. It matches the Rfam family "Small nucleolar RNA snoR138". The record is from Rfam. NCBI's taxonomy places the organism in Eukaryota, Viridiplantae, Streptophyta, Magnoliopsida, Vitales, Vitaceae.
AUAGCCGCUCGAAUAACCGGAAGGUGGAAGAAGAGCAUCACCAUUCGGUUCAGACAGUGGCUAAUAACAAAAGGGGACUGAUAAAAAGGUCCUCUUCCGAAUCUGUUUGAGGGUAAGGAACCAUUCUCUUCAGCCAGUCCUUUCCUAGUUUGGUUCGGAUAUUC